GACGAACGCUGGCGGCGUGCCUAACACAUGCAAGUCGCACGGGGUAGCAAUACCCAGUGGCGAACGGGUGCGUAACACGUGAGGAACAUACCUAUCGGCGGGGGAUAGCCGGCCCAACAGCCGGGUAAUACCGCGUACGCUCUCCGGGGGGCAUCUCCUGGGGAGGAAAGCAGCAAUGCACCGAUAGAGUGCCUCGCGGCCUAUCAGCUAGUUGGUGAGGUAAUGGCUCACCAAGGCGACGACGGGUAGCUGGUCUGAGAGGAUGAUCAGCCACAUUGGGACUGAGACACGGCCCAGACUCCUAGGGGAGGCAGCAGUGGGGAAUCUUGCGCAAUGGGCGAAAGCCUGACGCAGCGACGCCGCGUGUGGGAUGAAGGCCUUCGGGUCGUAAACCACUGUCGCGAGGGACGAAUACAUUGACGGUACCUCGAAAGGAAGCAACCGGCUAACUCUGUGCCAGCAGCCGCGGUAAUACAGAGGUGCG
RNAcentral lists this ribosomal RNA (484 nucleotides) under uncultured bacterium. RNAcentral's name for it is "bacterial SSU rRNA". It matches the Rfam family "Bacterial small subunit ribosomal RNA", at positions 28 to 536 of the family's 1533-position model. The record is from RNAcentral.